Molecule: unclassified non-coding RNA, 251 nt
Organism: Mandrillus leucophaeus (drill)
Lineage: Eukaryota; Metazoa; Chordata; Mammalia; Primates; Cercopithecidae
Rfam family: Metazoan signal recognition particle RNA
About the family: The signal recognition particle (SRP) is a universally conserved ribonucleoprotein. It is involved in the co-translational targeting of proteins to membranes.
Source: Ensembl
AUGGAACAGAAUAGAGAGCCCAGAAAUAGAUCUUCAUAGAUCCCCUGAGCCCCAGAGAUCUGGGCUCUAGUGCACUAUGCCAAUUGGGUGUCCACACUAAGUUCGGCACAAAUAUGGUGACCUCCAGGUUGCCUAAGGAAGGGUGAACUGGCUCAAGUCAGAAAAAACAAGUCAAAACUCCUGUGCUGAUCAGUAGUGGAAUCGCACCUGUGAAAAGCCACUAUGCUCCAGUCUGGCCAAUAUAGCAAGAU